GGGGGUUUAGCUCAGCUGGGAGAGCGCGGGCUUUGCAAGCCUGAGGUCAGGGGUUCCAUCCCCCUAACCUCCACCA
This 76-nucleotide transfer RNA is filed under the name Collinsella sp. RNAcentral's name for it is "tRNA-Ala". It matches the Rfam family "tRNA". Rfam says of the family: Transfer RNA (tRNA) molecules are approximately 80 nucleotides in length. Their secondary structure includes four short double-helical elements and three loops (D, anti-codon, and T loops). Further hydrogen bonds mediate the characteristic L-shaped molecular structure. tRNAs have two regions of fundamental functional importance: the anti-codon, which is responsible for specific mRNA codon recognition, and the 3' end, to which the tRNAs corresponding amino acid is attached (by aminoacyl-tRNA synthetases). tRNAs cope with the degeneracy of the genetic code in two manners: having more than one tRNA (with a specific anti-codon) for a particular amino acid; and 'wobble' base-pairing, i.e. permitting non-standard base-pairing at the 3rd anti-codon position. The record is from RNAcentral. Lineage: Bacteria; Bacillati; Actinomycetota; Coriobacteriia; Coriobacteriales; Coriobacteriaceae.